This 1287-nucleotide ribosomal RNA is filed under the name metagenome. RNAcentral describes it as "bacterial SSU rRNA". It matches the Rfam family "Bacterial small subunit ribosomal RNA", at positions 242 to 1520 of the family's 1533-position model. The record is from RNAcentral.
UAGCUAGUUGGUGAGGUAAAGGCUUACCAAGGCGACGAUCUGUAGCGGGUCUGAGUGGAUGAUCCGCCACACUGGAACUGAGACACGGUCCAGACUCCUACGGGAGGCAGCAGUGGGGAAUUUUGGACAAUGGGGGCAACCCUGAUCCAGCCAUGCCGCGUGAGUGAAGAAGGCCUUCGGGUUGUAAAGCUCUUUCGGCCGGGAAGAAAUCGCAUGGGCCAAUACCCUGUGUGGAUGACGGUACCGGAAUAAGAAGCACCGGCUAACUACGUGCCAGCAGCCGCGGUAAUACGUAGGGUGCGAGCGUUAAUCGGAAUUACUGGGCGUAAAGCGUGCGCAGGCGGUUUUGUAAGACAGGCGUGAAAUCCCCGGGCUUAACCUGGGAACUGCGUUUGUGACUGCAAGGCUAGAGUACGGCAGAGGGGGGUGGAAUUCCAUGUGUAGCAGUGAAAUGCGUAGAGAUGUGGAGGAACACCAAUGGCGAAGGCAGCCCCCUGGGUCGAUACUGACGCUCAUGCACGAAAGCGUGGGUAGCAAACAGGAUUAGAUACCCUGGUAGUCCACGCCCUAAACUAUGUCAACUAGGUGUUGGGUGGGUAAAACCAUUUAGUACCGUAGCUAACGCGUGGAGUUGACCGCCUGGGGAGUACGGCCGCAAGGUUAAAACUCAAAGGAAUUGACGGGGACCCGCACAAGCGGUGGAUGAUGUGGAUUAAUUCGAUGCAACGCGAAAAACCUUACCUACCCUUGACAUGCCAGGAACUUGCCAGAGAUGGCUUGGUGCCCGAAAGGGAGCCUGGACACAGGUGCUGCAUGGCUGUCGUCAGCUCGUGUCGUGAGAUGUUGGGUUAAGUCCCGCAACGAGCGCAACCCUUGUCGUUAAUUGCCAUCAUUUAGUUGGGCACUUUAACGAGACUGCCGGUGACAAACCGGAGGAAGGUGGGGAUGACGUCAAGUCCUCAUGGCCCUUAUGGGUAGGGCUUCACACGUCAUACAAUGGUCGGUACAAAGGGUUGCCAAGCCGCGAGGCGGAGCCAAUCCCAGAAAGCCGAUCGUAGUCCGGAUUGCAGGCUGCAACUCGCCUGCAUGAAGUCGGAAUCGCUAGUAAUCGUGGAUCAGCAUGUCACGGUGAAUACGUUCCCGGGUCUUGUACACACCGCCCGUCACACCAUGGGAGCGGGUUCCGCCAGAAGUAGGUAGCCUAACCGCAAGGGGGGCGCUUACCACGGCGGGGUUCGUGACUGGGGUGAAGUCGUAACAAGGUAGCCGUAGGGGAACCUGCGGCUG